RNAcentral lists this ribosomal RNA (202 nucleotides) under uncultured bacterium. RNAcentral describes it as "partial 16S ribosomal RNA". It matches the Rfam family "Bacterial small subunit ribosomal RNA", at positions 524 to 725 of the family's 1533-position model. The record is from RNAcentral.
UACGAAGGGGGCUAGCGUUGCUCGGAAUGACUGGGCGUAAAGGGCGCGUAGGCGGCACUGUUAGUCAGGCGUGAAAUUCCUAGGCUCAACCUGGGACUGCGCUUGAUACGGCCAGAGCUUGAGGAUGGAAGAGGGUCGCGGAAUUCCCAGUGUAGAGGUGAAAUUCGUAGAUAUUGGGAAGAACACCGGUGGCGAAGGCGGC